Molecule: non-coding RNA, 386 nt
Organism: Pelobates cultripes (western spadefoot toad)
Lineage: Eukaryota; Metazoa; Chordata; Amphibia; Anura; Pelobatidae
Source: the annotation of a GenBank genome assembly
AGCAGGCGUAUUGUCUAGGGGAUGGCUGCUCUACUUUUGCACCCUGCUCAAGGAGGAGGAGGUGGAUGUGGAAUAGGAGGUUGAGGAGGCAGUGACCGUGGCGGCGACGACGCAUUCCGAUGUCUGCCCUAUCAACUUUCGAUGUUACUUUCUCUGCCUACCAUGGUGACCACGGGUAACGGGGAAUCAGGGUUCGAUUCUGGAGAGGGAGCCUACCACAUCCAAGGAAGGCAGCAGGCACGCAAAUUACCCACUCCAGACGCGGGGAGGUAGUGACGAUAAAUUGGAAUGAGUGCACUUUAAAUCCUUUAACGAGGAUCUAUUGGAGGGCAAUGCAGAGCGACUGACCCGUGCGUGCUGCAGCUGAAACUCCGCUAUCGCCUGCU